AACCGCAUAGCUCAGUUGGCAGAGCAUUGGGCUAGCAUUCCAAAGUUCGUAGGUUCGAUUCCCACUGUGGUCA
This 73-nucleotide transfer RNA is filed under the name Paramuricea clavata. It matches the Rfam family "tRNA". Rfam says of the family: Transfer RNA (tRNA) molecules are approximately 80 nucleotides in length. Their secondary structure includes four short double-helical elements and three loops (D, anti-codon, and T loops). The record is from Rfam by way of RNAcentral. Lineage: Eukaryota; Metazoa; Cnidaria; Anthozoa; Malacalcyonacea; Plexauridae.